CGCCUUGUGCUCAGAGCGCGUGAAAAGGUGAAGAGAUACACAGGUUUUCUUGGUUCUCUUACAAUGAGCUAAUGAGAGGUUGGGGCUUUUUUUCCUCUUUUUUAACAAGUCCCAUGGCUCGGUGUUUUUAUUUUUUAAUUACUCCAAGAUUAAUGUGCUUAAGUGUGCUUUUUAUCAUUAGCUUUGACUAGAUAUAUCUGGGUACUCAAGGAGAUCAAGUUAAAAACUGGGCCAGGACGCCAAUUAAAGACGACUUUCUCCUUCGGAGCGCGCACCGCGCCCUCUCACGCACACUCACGCGCACACCCACGACGCCCAGCACCCUGCGCCCUGAGCCCUGCAGCGGGGACCGCAGCUCUGCGCUGCUGCGACCAGGCUGGGAGCUUGCAAAAGGAGCUGGCGUUUGUUUUCUAAGUCGAAAACAGAAGAGUUAUUCAGGAAAAAUGGAUGAGCCCUUCAUAUAAAGCCACAUACAUGCAGGAACCCUGUGAAGAAAAUGCCCAUUGCCUGGCUUCUGUACCCAGUGUUGGCCUACCAAUGAAGACACGGCUGGAAAAAGUAAGUCCACAAAAACAUCUAGAUUAUUUUAGUAUUCAAAUUGUAUCUUUGAAUAAAAUC
RNAcentral lists this long non-coding RNA (618 nucleotides) under Fukomys damarensis (Damara mole-rat). RNAcentral describes it as "lncRNA (ENSFDAG00000030087.1)". The record is from RNAcentral. Lineage: Eukaryota; Metazoa; Chordata; Mammalia; Rodentia; Bathyergidae.